GAACUGGUGGUUUAGUGGUAGAAUUCUCACCUUCCAAGUGGGAGACCCAGGUUAGAGUCUCGGCCAAUGCA
Molecule: transfer RNA, 71 nt
Filed under: Loxodonta africana (African savanna elephant)
Lineage: Eukaryota; Metazoa; Chordata; Mammalia; Proboscidea; Elephantidae
Rfam family: tRNA
About the family: Transfer RNA (tRNA) molecules are approximately 80 nucleotides in length. Their secondary structure includes four short double-helical elements and three loops (D, anti-codon, and T loops).
Source: Rfam by way of RNAcentral